This 718-nucleotide ribosomal RNA is filed under the name uncultured Fusobacterium sp. RNAcentral's name for it is "bacterial SSU rRNA". It matches the Rfam family "Bacterial small subunit ribosomal RNA", at positions 87 to 819 of the family's 1533-position model. The record is from RNAcentral. Lineage: Bacteria; Fusobacteriati; Fusobacteriota; Fusobacteriia; Fusobacteriales; Fusobacteriaceae.
CGGUUUGGGUGGCGGACGGGUGAGUAACGCGUAAGGAACUUGCCUCACAGACUGGGACAACAUCUGGAAACGAAUGCUAAUACCGGAUAUUAUGAUUUUAGUGCAUGCUAGAAUUAUGAAAGCUAUAUGCGCUGUGAGAGAGCUUUGCGUCCCAUUAGCUAGUUGGAGAGGUAACGGCUCACCAAGGCGAUGAUGGGUAGCCGGCCUGAGAGGGUGAACGGCCACAAGGGGACUGAGACACGGCCCUUACUCCUACGGGAGGCAGCAGUGGGGAAUAUUGGACAAUGGACCGAGAGUCUGAUCCAGCAAUUCUGUGUGCACGAUGAAGUUUUUCGGAAUGUAAAGUGCUUUCAGUUGGGAAGAAAAAAAUGACGGUACCAACAGAAGAAGUGACGGCUAAAUACGUGCCAGCAGCCGCGGUAAUACGUAUGUCACAAGCGUUAUCCGGAUUUAUUGGGCGUAAAGCGCGUCUAGGCGGCUAUGUAAGUCUGAUGUGAAAAUGCGGGGCUCAACUCCGUAUUGCGUUGGAAACUGUGUAGCUAGAGUAUCGGAGAGGUAAGCGGAACUACAAGUGUAGAGGUGAAAUUCGUAGAUAUUUGUAGGAAUGCCGAUGGGGAAGCCAGCUUACUGGACGAAUACUGACGCUAAAGCGCGAAAGCGUGGGUAGCAAACAGGAUUAGAUACCCUGGUAGUCCACGCUGUAAACGAUGAUUACUAG